This 253-nucleotide ribosomal RNA is filed under the name uncultured bacterium. Its description in RNAcentral is "partial 16S ribosomal RNA". It matches the Rfam family "Bacterial small subunit ribosomal RNA", at positions 524 to 776 of the family's 1533-position model. The record is from RNAcentral.
UACGUAGGGUGCAAGCGUUAAUCGGAAUUACUGGGCGUAAAGCGUGCGCAGGCGGUCUUGCAAGACAGAUGUGAAAUCCCCGGGCUUAACCUGGGAACUGCAUUUGAGACUGCAAGGCUGGAGUACGGCAGAGGGGGAUGGAAUUCCGCGUGUAGCAGUGAAAUGCGUAGAUAUGCGGAGGAACACCGAUGGCGAAGGCAAUCCCCUGGGCCUGUACUGACGCUCAUGCACGAAAGCGUGGGGAGCAAACAGG